GGGAGAUGGAUUCUACUUGCCAGCUUUCCCCUGGGUUGGAUUUGAAUCUCCUCAGAUAAUGUUAUUUACAAUAUUUGAAACAUCAUGAAAUGUCAUUCGAUGCUUAAUUAUUUUGUCCUGUUUAGUUUCUUAAUUUAAAUAUGGGAGUCCUAGGAAAGCACUGGGGAACUCUCUCAACUGUGGAAACUGACUUUCCCUGGGGAAGCAUUAGUAUCUCUCAGCAGGGACGACUCUUUUUAAAAAUCACCACUGCAGUGAGCAAAGAAGUGUAACAGUCCAUCUAGGCUCACUGCCCACAGCCCUUUAUCUCCACAUCCGCCCUGGACAUCUGUGCAUAGAAACCUCUGCAGAAGCCAUGAAGAGUCUUUACAGCAUGGGACCUACCUUUCACCACACUGCUCCUGC
RNAcentral lists this long non-coding RNA (405 nucleotides) under Mus musculus (house mouse). Its description in RNAcentral is "long non-coding RNA chr11:18451589-18451994". The record is from RNAcentral. Lineage: Eukaryota; Metazoa; Chordata; Mammalia; Rodentia; Muridae.